This 467-nucleotide long non-coding RNA is filed under the name Phascolarctos cinereus (koala). RNAcentral describes it as "lncRNA (ENSPCIG00000032685.1)". The record is from RNAcentral. Lineage: Eukaryota; Metazoa; Chordata; Mammalia; Diprotodontia; Phascolarctidae.
GAUGGGUCCCAGAGCCCUGGAAGAGGAAGCUGUCCUUCCUCCUCCCAAAACACUGGUCCUGCUUCCAUCCCAUUCCCUGCAGCCUCCUUAGAAACGUGACCUGGCAAAGUGCUUCUGAGAGACAACUACUGAAGAUAAACUUCAUCAGCCAUGGACAGAGGGAUAGAAGAGAGGAGAGGGAACCAACUGCCUGAGAAGCAUUUGAUGAGCCGUGACUUUGAAUUGAUGUCCCUGGGAUUCAUUUGGAGAAGGAGUCUACCCCUGGCACUAUCAGCUUUCUAUACUACAAGGAAGGAAAGAGGGGGAGCCAAGGGCUACUCAGACGCAGGUGGCCAGUAUACCUAGCAAAACAUCUACCUCCUGAAGUGGCCCACUCCCUUUGAAGCGGCCCUGGAUUGUCACACUUCAAAGAAAUCUGAGCUUUAUUUGUCACCUUGGAAGUCAGCUGUAAAGGCAGAAGCUAUCAC